GCCAGGCGUGGUGGUGGGCGCCUGUAAUCCCAGCUACUCAGGAGGCUGAGGCAGGAGAAUCGCUUGAACCUGGGAGGCGGAGGUUGCAGUGAGCCGAGAGCCGAGAUCGCACCACUGCACUCCAGCCUGGGUUACAGAGCGAGAGUCUGUCUCAA
Molecule: non-coding RNA, 155 nt
Filed under: Chlorocebus sabaeus (green monkey)
Lineage: Eukaryota; Metazoa; Chordata; Mammalia; Primates; Cercopithecidae
Source: Rfam by way of RNAcentral